GAUGAACGCUGGCGGUCUGCUUAACACAUGCAAGUCGAACGGGCUCUUUCGGGAGCUCGUGGCGGACGGGUGAGUAACGCGUGAGAAUCUGCCCUUUGGAGGGGGAUAACGGUUGGAAACGACCGCUAAUACCCCAUGUGCCGAGAGGGAAAAAGUAAUUCGCCAAGGGAUGGGCUCGCGUCGGAUUAGCUAGUUGGUGGGGUAAGAGCCCACCAAGGCGACGAUCCGUAGCUGGUCGGAGAGGAUGACCGGCCACACUGGGACUGAGACACGGCGCAGACUCCUACGGGAGGCAGCAGUGGGGAAUUUGCCGCAAUGGGCGCAAGCCUGACGGAGCAAGACCGCGGGAGGGAAGACGGUCUGUGGAUGGUAAACCUCUUUUGACAGGGAAGAAGUACUGACGGUACCUGUCGAAUCAGCCUCGGCUAACUCCGUG
Molecule: ribosomal RNA, 436 nt
Filed under: uncultured bacterium
Lineage: Bacteria
Description: partial 16S ribosomal RNA
Rfam family: Bacterial small subunit ribosomal RNA
Source: RNAcentral